GACGCCCAGGCUAUGCCUGCUAUAUUUUUACACUACCUUAAGUCAUCAAGUCUUCAACUAAAGCUCACACCUAUUUCAAAUUCUACCACUUUCUAGUUAUCGAGAUGUCGACUGCUAGCAUAAAGUGCAACCACCGGAUAUGCCCACACAGGGGAGACAACUUAACGGAGGCAGCAGAACGAGGCAGAUUUGAUCGGUUCAAUGAACAUUUAGAUCAUCUUGAUUUCAUUGUGACACCAAAUGGAAACACAAUACUACAUAUUCAUCUUUCCCGUCAAAGGGAAAUAUCUACUGACUUUAUUGAGCAAGUAGUUGUCCAAUGCCCGAGGUUGUUAUCGCAGGAAAAUUUUGACGGUAAUACUCCGUUGCACAUUGCAGCUAGUCACGGGUAUACUAAUGUAGCGGAAAAACUAAUCAGGUUGGCAGAGGCCUUACAUGAUGCAUUAGAUUCACGGAGAAGAGAAGUGGCAAUAAAUAUCUUACAGAAUGAAGUAGAGGCAGCAGAGAGGGCAAACAGAGUAGUGAGGGAGAUGUUAAGGAAGGUAAAUGAAAAAGGAGAAACGGCAUUGCAUGUGGCAGCACGAAAUGGAAGAAGUCUUGGUGUUUUGAAAGCAAUAUUGAGCAAGGAAGAUCCUCAGUUCGCAUAUCCUGUUAAUAAUCUUGGGGAAUCUCCUCUUUACUUGGCUGUUGAUAGCACAUGUACAAAAAUAGUGGCUGAACUGUUAAAUAAUCCCAAUUCACAAUCUCUGGAAUAUGAUCGCCUUUAUGGCCGUUAUGAUGAAACGGUGUUGCAUACAGCAGUAAGACGAUGGGAUACAGAGAUAGUACGUAUGCUCUUGGAGAAACAGAGUAGUUUGGCUAAAAAAGAAGAUGGGCGAGGAAAGACUCCACUUCAUUACGCUGCAUAUGAAGGUUCUAGCUCAAUGGUGGCAACUUUAUUAGAUAAUGAUGGUUCUAGCUCAAUGGAGACAACUUUAUUAGAUAAUGAUGAAUAUAUUGCUAGGCAAUUACAGGUUAUGGGAGCUCUUCACAUUGCAGCCGCUCAAGGCUAUAAACACGCAAUGAAUGAGAUUAUUUCUAAACGUCCAGACUGUUGUAAACUCACUGACACAGAGGGCAAAAACGUUCUUCAUUAUGCAGUAUACAGUAGACAUGAAGAAGUACUGAAAGCAAUCCUUGAAGAGUCAUCAUUAAUUUCCCUCAUAAUUGAGAAAGAUAAUAAUGGGAAUACGCCUGUCCAUGUAUUCAAGGCUCUUAAUCUCCCUUUAUCUUCUUUCAUACUUGAUGGAGAUACUGAUGCCUUCAUCCUUUGGAAGAAAUUAUACUGUAGCCUCCCCGAAGACUUUACCAUAGAGAAUUCCUUGCUUUGGAGCAACGAAGAUCAUUUCAAAGUUACGAAACGUCAUCCGGAACGUAAAACAGAAAUGGCAAAAAAGAGAGAAGAAAAGAUAAUACUUCAAUUAGAAAAAGCCAAAGACUCACAUCUGGUGGCCGCAGCACUUGUAGCAACCGUAACUUUUGCAGCCGCAUUCACCUUGCCUGGUGGUUAUAUAAGUGAUGAAAAAGACUCAGGGAAAGGCACUCCCAUUCUGAUAAAAAAUUCAGCUUUUAAAGCAUUUAUUAUAUCAGACGCUCUAGCUAUGGCUCUUUCUACUUCUUCUGUCUUUAUAUACUUCAUCAUGGUGAUGCUAGGAUAUGGACCAAAAUACUACUGGUUAAUAAAAACUGCCUUCAGGUUUAUCUUCCUUGCCAUGGGAGCAAUGGUGGUUGCAUUUGCUACAGGCACUUAUGCAGUUCUUGCACCUUCCUUAGGGCUUGCCAUUUCUACUUGUGCCAUUGGUUUGAGCUUCUUUCUUUUCUUGUUUUAUGUCCUCAAAAGGUUAAGUAGUAUUCCUGACGAUUAUGAUCAUGAAAGGAUUUUAACACUCUUAUGGCUAAGUUUUGGAGGCUAUUGCUUGGUCUAAAUGCCCUGCGAGCUGCGUGAUUGGCUUAUAGAAUGCUUGGUUAGAAGGCAUACACUUGGUUUGAAUGGAUGGCUAGAUAAGAGAGGACAGAAAAGAAAGAGUAGAUGGGCAAGAGUAUUUCUUACAUGAGAGCUUAAUGAUUUUGAAAAAGGGACUACACAGCUUGUGCACUUUCAUGUCUAUCCUGUGCACCUUCACGGAGGACAUUUGAAAAUUAUUGAAACUUGCACAACAUGCUGCACAGCCUAUGCAGCUUGGUUGUACACUUUCAUGGAAGAUAUCCAAACAUGCCAAAACCUACACAGGCAUCUCGUACAGUAUGUGUACCUUCAUAGAAAGCCUCUGGAGACUGCCAAAUGCACACUUGUUUGAAAUUCUACCACUUAUGAUGGAGAAGUCAAAUGCUAGCAAAAAUUGCCUCCACACGAGAUGCCCAUCCAUGGAUGAUGACUUAAAGAAGGCAGCAGAACAAGGCAGAUUUGAUCCAUUCAAUGAACAUUUAUAUCAUCUUGAUUGCAUAGUGAGACCAAAUGGAAACACAAUACUACAUAUUCAUGUUUCCUUUCCAAGGAAAAUAUCUACUGAGUUAAUAAAUCAAGUAGUUAGCAAUUGCCUGAA
Molecule: RNA transcript, 2582 nt
Organism: Hevea brasiliensis (rubber tree)
Lineage: Eukaryota; Viridiplantae; Streptophyta; Magnoliopsida; Malpighiales; Euphorbiaceae
Exons: 6
Source: RefSeq, a predicted model, not a curated record